UACGGAAGGCAGCAGUGGGGAAUAUUGCACAAUGGGCGAAAGCCUGAUGCAGCUAUGCCGCGUGUAUGAAGAAGGCCUUAGGGUUGUAAAGUACUUUCAUCGGGGAGGAAAAACAAAACUAAUAAUUUUAUUUCUUGACGUUACCCGAAAAAGAAGCACCGGCUAACUCCGUGCCAGCAGCCGCGGUAAUACGGAGGGUGCUAGCGUUAAUCAGAAUUACUGGGCGUAAAGAGCACGUAGGUGGUUUUUUUAAGUCAGAUGUGAAAUCCCUGGGCUUAACCUAGGAACUGCAUUUGAAACUGAAAUACUAGAGUAUCGUAGAGGGAGGUAGAAUUCUAGGUGUAGCGGUGAAAUGCGUAGAUAUCUGGAGGAUACCUGUGGCGAAAGCGGCCUCCUAAACGAAUACUGACACUGAGGUGCGAAAGCGUGGGGAGCAAACGAGGAUUAGACUACC
RNAcentral lists this ribosomal RNA (454 nucleotides) under uncultured bacterium. RNAcentral's name for it is "bacterial SSU rRNA". It matches the Rfam family "Bacterial small subunit ribosomal RNA", at positions 340 to 787 of the family's 1533-position model. The record is from RNAcentral.